GGAGUUGGCCAGACAGUCGCCGCCGCGCCUUGUGUGCGGGGGAGGAAAGUCCGGGCUCCAUAGGGCAGAGUGCCAGGUAACGCCUGGGCGGCGUGAGCCGACGGAAAGUGCAGCAGAGAGUAGACCGCCUAAGCCUUUCGAGGCCGGUAAGGGUGAAAGGGUGCGGUAAGAGCGCACCGCACGGCUGGUAACAGUGCGUGGCAAGGUAAACCCCACUCGGAGCAAGACCAAAUAGGGACCCAAUGGCGUGGCCCGCGCUGGGUCCGGGUAGGUUGCUUGAGCGCUGCGGUGACGUAGCGCCUAGAGGAAUGGCUGUCUUAGACAGAACCCGGCUUAUCGGCCGACUCCCCUC
Molecule: RNase P RNA, 352 nt
Filed under: Vreelandella azerica
Lineage: Bacteria; Pseudomonadati; Pseudomonadota; Gammaproteobacteria; Oceanospirillales; Halomonadaceae
Description: Halomonas azerica Bacterial RNase P class A
Rfam family: Bacterial RNase P class A
About the family: Ribonuclease P (RNase P) is a ubiquitous endoribonuclease, found in archaea, bacteria and eukarya as well as chloroplasts and mitochondria.
Source: Rfam by way of RNAcentral